UGGGAUGUGGCUUAGGGGUAGAGCACUUGCCUCACAUGGUUGAGGCACUGAGUUCGAUCCUCAGCACCUCAU
Molecule: transfer RNA, 72 nt
Filed under: Ictidomys tridecemlineatus (thirteen-lined ground squirrel)
Lineage: Eukaryota; Metazoa; Chordata; Mammalia; Rodentia; Sciuridae
Description: Spermophilus tridecemlineatus (thirteen-lined ground squirrel) tRNA
Rfam family: tRNA
About the family: Transfer RNA (tRNA) molecules are approximately 80 nucleotides in length. Their secondary structure includes four short double-helical elements and three loops (D, anti-codon, and T loops).
Source: Rfam by way of RNAcentral